AGAAGGGCAUGCAGCGUGCACAACAUGUUGUAUAGCAUGCAGAUGCAAACUCGUGUGCGACACUCCCGCAAAGGCAAGCCGCACAAGCCAGCAGCUUGCCAUGCAUGUGCAGGCUACACGAGAAAAAACAACACACACGAGCACCACAAGCGAGUGCAUAAGACAGGUCACAUGCGUAUAGCAAGUGAGAGGAAAUCGUGCAUGCACAGAGGCAUUGUGUGCUCGCAGAGAAGGAACACAUACACAGCAGUGCAAGAGAA
This 260-nucleotide long non-coding RNA is filed under the name Carica papaya (papaya). RNAcentral describes it as "long non-coding RNA (CPAP_LNC014406)". The record is from RNAcentral. Lineage: Eukaryota; Viridiplantae; Streptophyta; Magnoliopsida; Brassicales; Caricaceae.